This 400-nucleotide ribosomal RNA is filed under the name uncultured bacterium. RNAcentral's name for it is "bacterial SSU rRNA". It matches the Rfam family "Bacterial small subunit ribosomal RNA", at positions 355 to 769 of the family's 1533-position model. The record is from RNAcentral.
UGGGGAAUAUUGGGCAAUGGGCGCAAGCCUGACCCAGCAACGCCGCGUGAGGGAAGAAGGUUUUCGGAUUGUAAACCUCUGUCGCAGAAGACGAAGGAAGUGACGGUAUUCUGUGAGGAAGCCCCGGCUAACUACGUGCCAGCAGCCGCGGUAAUACGUAGGGGGCGAGCGUUGUCCGGAAUUACUGGGCGUAAAGGGAGCGUAGGCGGUCUGAUAAGUUGGAUGUGAAAUACCCGGGCUUAACUUGGGGGGUGCAUCCAAUACUGUUGGACUAGAGUACAGGAGAGGAAAGCGGAAUUCCUAGUGUAGCGGUGAAAUGCAUAGAUAUUAGGAGGAACAUCGGUGGCGAAGGCGGCUUUCUGGACUGCAACUGACGCUGAGGCUCGAAAGCGUGGGGAGC